This 253-nucleotide ribosomal RNA is filed under the name uncultured bacterium. RNAcentral's name for it is "partial 16S ribosomal RNA". It matches the Rfam family "Bacterial small subunit ribosomal RNA", at positions 524 to 776 of the family's 1533-position model. The record is from RNAcentral.
UACAGAGGUCUCAAGCGUUGUUCGGAUUCAUUGGGCGUAAAGGGUGCGUAGGCGGCGCGGUAAGUCGGGUGUGAAAUCUCGGAGCUUAACUCCGAAACUGCAUUCGAUACUGCCGUGCUUGAGGACUGGAGAGGAGACUGGAAUUUACGGUGUAGCGGUGAAAUGCGUAGAUAUCGUAAGGAAGACCAGUGGCGAAGGCAGCUUACUACACAGUUAUUGACGCUGAGGCACGAAAGCGUGGGGAUCAAACAGG